AAGCCCUUUGGGGUUUAUAAAACACUUUUUGGCCAGGAAAAGAAAACUUCCAUGGGGUUAAUACCCCCGGGAAAACGGACGGUACCCUGCAGAAAUAAGCCCCGGGCAAAUUACGUGCCCGGCAGCCGCGGUAAUACGUAGGGUGCAAGCGUUAAUUGGAAUUACUGGGCGUAAAGCGUGCGCCGGCGGUUCGGAAAGAAAGAUGUGAAAUCCCAGAGCUUAACUUUGGAACUGCAUUUUUAACUACCGAGCUAGAGUGUGUCAGAGGGAGGUGGAAUUCCGCGUGUAGCAGUGAAAUGCGUAGAUAUGCGGAGGAACACCGAUGGCGAAGGCAGCCUCCUGGGAUAACACUGACGCUCAUGCACGAAAGCGUGGGGAGCAAACAGGAUUAGAUACCCUGGUAGUCCACGCCCUAAACGAUGUCAACUAGCUGUUGGGGCCUUCGGGCCUUGGUAGCGCAGCUAACGCGUGAAGUUGACCGCCUGGGGAGUACGGUCGCAAGAUUAAAACUCAAAGGAAUUGACGGGGACCCGCACAAGCGGUGGAUGAUGUGGAUUAAUUCGAUGCAACGCGAAAAACCUUACCUACCCUUGACAUGUCUGGAAUUCCGAAGAGAUUUGGAAGUGCUCGCAAGAGAACCGGAACACAGGUGCUGCAUGGCUGUCGUCAGCUCGUGUCGUGAGAUGUUGGGUUAAGUCCCGCAACGAGCGCAACCCUUGUCAUUAGUUGCUACGAAAGGGCACUCUAAUGAGACUGCCGGUGACAAACCGGAGGAAGGUGGGGAUGACGUCAAGUCCUCAUGGCCCUUAUGGGUAGGGCUUCACACGUCAUACAAUGGUCGGGACAGAGGGUCGCCAACCCGCGAGGGGGAGCCAAUCCCAGAAACCCGAUCGUAGUCCGGAUCGCAGUCUGCAACUCGACUGCGUGAAGUCGGAAUCGCUAGUAAUCGCGGAUCAGCAUGUCGCGGUGAAUACGUUCCCGGGUCUUGUACACACCGCCCGUCACACCAUGGGAGUGGGUUUUACCAGAAGUAGUUAGCCUAACCGUAAGGGGGGCGAUACCACGUAGAUC
RNAcentral lists this ribosomal RNA (1071 nucleotides) under Achromobacter sp. Its description in RNAcentral is "bacterial SSU rRNA". It matches the Rfam family "Bacterial small subunit ribosomal RNA", at positions 411 to 1468 of the family's 1533-position model. The record is from RNAcentral. Lineage: Bacteria; Pseudomonadati; Pseudomonadota; Betaproteobacteria; Burkholderiales; Alcaligenaceae.